GUACGGGAGGCAGCAGUGGGGAAUUUUGCGCAAUGGGCGAAAGCCUGACGCAGCAACGCCGCGUGGAGGAUGAAGGCCUUCGGGUCGUAAACUCCUGUCGAUGGGGACGAAAGCUCGUAGAGCCUGACUGUACCCGUUGAGGAAGCCACGGCUAACUCCGUGCCAGCAGCCGCGGUAAUACGGAGGUGGCAAGCGUUGUUCGGAAUUACUGGGCGUAAAGGGCGCGUAGGCGGCAUGGCAAGUCAGAUGUGAAAGCCCCGGGCUUAACCCGGGAAUUGCAUCUGAUACUGCUUUGCUUGAGUCCUGGAGGGGGUAGUGGAAUUCCCAGUGUAGCGGUGAAAUGCGUAGAUAUUGGGAGGAACACCUGCGGCGAAGGCGGCUACCUGGACAGUGACUGACGCUGAGGCGCGAAAGCUAGGGGAGCGAACAGGAUUAGAUACCCGAGUAGUC
RNAcentral lists this ribosomal RNA (450 nucleotides) under uncultured bacterium. RNAcentral describes it as "bacterial SSU rRNA". It matches the Rfam family "Bacterial small subunit ribosomal RNA", at positions 339 to 795 of the family's 1533-position model. The record is from RNAcentral.